This 73-nucleotide transfer RNA is filed under the name Acidimicrobiia bacterium. RNAcentral describes it as "tRNA-Arg". It matches the Rfam family "tRNA". From Rfam's summary of the family: Transfer RNA (tRNA) molecules are approximately 80 nucleotides in length. Their secondary structure includes four short double-helical elements and three loops (D, anti-codon, and T loops). The record is from RNAcentral. Lineage: Bacteria; Bacillati; Actinomycetota; Acidimicrobiia.
GCCCUCGUAGCUCAGGGGAGAGAGCAACCGCCUCCUAAGCGGUAGGUCGCAGGUUCGAAUCCUGCCGAGGGCG